Molecule: ribosomal RNA, 232 nt
Filed under: uncultured bacterium
Lineage: Bacteria
Description: partial 16S ribosomal RNA
Rfam family: Bacterial small subunit ribosomal RNA
Source: RNAcentral
UGAGCAAUCUGCCCUUCACAUCGGAAUAAGCGUUGGAAACGACGUCUAAUGCCGAAUACGACCUCCUUUCGCAUGAUCGGAGGUGGAAAGCUCCGGCGGAGAAGGAUGAGCUCGCGGCCUAUCAGCUAGUUGGUGUGGGUAAUGGCCCACCAAGGCGACGACGGGUAGCCGGCCUGAGAGGGUGACCGGCCACACUGGGACUGAGACACGGCCAGACUCCGUACGGGAGCAG